This 238-nucleotide long non-coding RNA is filed under the name Solanum tuberosum (potato). Its description in RNAcentral is "long non-coding RNA (STUB_LNC004117)". The record is from RNAcentral. Lineage: Eukaryota; Viridiplantae; Streptophyta; Magnoliopsida; Solanales; Solanaceae.
CCGGUUAUUCUGAAGAAGAAUAUUAUUAUUGGCAAAUAAUAAACAUAUUAUUCUUACUUAGCCUACUAGACCUUUAAGGCCAACUGCUAGCAAGCCCCUUUAAAGGAUUGUUAUAUGUAAAGACAUAUUUUGCAGUGCUGCAACUGCUGUGGCAGGCACAUACCUAAUAUCUUAAUCAAAUCAAUAAGAUACUUCCCACUAGAUUUUCCUUAAUAGCAUUAAUAAAUAUAAAAUGUCC